RNAcentral lists this ribosomal RNA (780 nucleotides) under Bacillus altitudinis. RNAcentral describes it as "bacterial SSU rRNA". It matches the Rfam family "Bacterial small subunit ribosomal RNA", at positions 84 to 848 of the family's 1533-position model. Lineage: Bacteria; Bacillati; Bacillota; Bacilli; Caryophanales; Bacillaceae. The record is from RNAcentral.
CCCGGAUGUUAGCGGCGGACGGGUGAGUAACACGUGGGUAACCUGCCUGUAAGACUGGGAUAACUCCGGGAAACCGGAGCUAAUACCGGAUAGUUCCUUGAACCGCACGGUUCAAGGAUGAAAGACGGUUUCGGCUGUCACUUACAGAUGGACCCGCGGCGCACUAUCUAGUUGGUGAGGUAACGGCUCACCAAGGCGACGAUACGUAGCCCACCUGAGAGGGUGAUCGGCCACACUGGGACUGAGACACGGCCCACACUCCUACGGGAGGCAGCAGUAGGGAAUCUUCCGCAAUGGACGAAAGUCUGACGGAGCAACGCCGCGUGAGUGAUGAAGGUUUUCGGAUCGUAAAGCUCUGUUGUUAGGGAAGAACAAGUGCAAGAGUAACUGCGUGCACCUUGACGGUACCUAACCAGAAAGCCACGGCUAACUACGUGCCAGCAGCCGCGGUAAUACGUAUGUGGCAAGCGUUGUCCGGAAUUAUUGGGCGUAAAGGGCUCGCAGGCGGUUUCUUAAGUCUGAUGUGAAAGCCCCCGGCUCAACCGGGGAGGGUCAUUGUAAACUGGGAAACUUGAGUGCAGAAGAGGAGAGUGGAAUUCCACGUGUAGCGGUGAAAUGCGUAUAGAUGUGGAGGAACACCAGUGGCGAAAGCGACUCUCUGGUCUGUAACUGACGCUCAGGAGCGAAAGCGUGGGGAGCGAACAGGAUUAGAUACCCUGGUAGUCCACGCCGUAUACGAUGAGUGCUAAGUGUUUAGGGGGUUUCCGCCCCUUAGUGCUG